CAAAAGGCUUUCCAAAGCCACAAAGAUGAUAAUGAAGGGCUUAU
Non-coding RNA from Picea glauca (white spruce), 44 nucleotides. The record is from Rfam. Lineage: Eukaryota; Viridiplantae; Streptophyta; Pinopsida; Pinales; Pinaceae.